RNAcentral lists this ribosomal RNA (397 nucleotides) under uncultured soil bacterium. RNAcentral's name for it is "bacterial SSU rRNA". It matches the Rfam family "Bacterial small subunit ribosomal RNA", at positions 26 to 422 of the family's 1533-position model. The record is from RNAcentral.
AGGACGAACGCUGGCGGCGCGCCUAAUACAUGCAAGUCGAGCGACGAAACCUUCCUUCGGGAAGGCUGAAAGCGGCGAACGGGUGAGUAACACGUGGGUAACGUGCCCCGAACUCUGGGAUAACAACGGGAAACCGUUGCUAAUACCGGAUGACCCCUGCGGAUCGCAUGUUUUGCAGGGCAAAGAAUUUCGGUUUGGGAUCGGCCCGCGGUGUAUCAGCUUGUUGGUGGGGUAACGGCCUACCAAGGCUUUGACGCAUAGCUGGCGUGAGAGCGCGACCAGCCACACUGGGACUGAGACACGGCCCAGACUCCUACGGGAGCAGCAGUAGGAAUCUGCGCAAUGGGACGAAAGCCUGACGCAGCGACGCCGCGUGAGCGAUGAAGGCCGUUCGGGG